RNAcentral lists this ribosomal RNA (869 nucleotides) under Escherichia coli. RNAcentral's name for it is "partial 23S ribosomal RNA". It matches the Rfam family "Bacterial large subunit ribosomal RNA", at positions 97 to 1008 of the family's 2925-position model. Lineage: Bacteria; Pseudomonadati; Pseudomonadota; Gammaproteobacteria; Enterobacterales; Enterobacteriaceae. The record is from RNAcentral.
GUUAUAACCGGCGAUUUCCGAAUGGGGAAACCCAGUGUGUUUCGACACACUAUCAUUAACUGAAUCCAUAGGUUAAUGAGGCGAACCGGGGGAACUGAAACAUCUAAGUACCCCGAGGAAAAGAAAUCAACCGAGAUUCCCCCAGUAGCGGCGAGCGAACGGGGAGCAGCCCAGAGCCUGAAUCAGUGUGUGUGUUAGUGGAAGCGUCUGGAAAGGCGUGCGAUACAGGGUGACAGCCCCGUACACAAAAAUGCACAUACUGUGAGCUCGAUGAGUAGGGCGGGACACGUGGUAUCCUGUCUGAAUAUGGGGGGACCAUCCUCCAAGGCUAAAUACUCCUGACUGACCGAUAGUGAACCAGUACCGUGAGGGAAAGGCGAAAAGAACCCCGGCGAGGGGAGUGAAAAAGAACCUGAAACCGUGUACGUACAAGCAGUGGGAGCCUCUUAAUGGGGUGACUGCGUACCUUUUGUAUAAUGGGUCAGCGACUUAUAUUCUGUAGCAAGGUUAACCGAAUAGGGGAGCCGAAGGGAAACCGAGUCUUAACUGGGCGUUAAGUUGCAGGGUAUAGACCCGAAACCCGGUGAUCUAGCCAUGGGCAGGUUGAAGGUUGGGUAACACUAACUGGAGGACCGAACCGACUAAUGUUGAAAAAUUAGCGGAUGACUUGUGGCUGGGGGUGAAAGGCCAAUCAAACCGGGAGAUAGCUGGUUCUCCCCGAAAGCUAUUUAGGUAGCGCCUCGUGAAUUCAUCUCCGGGGGUAGAGCACUGUUUCGGCAAGGGGGUCAUCCCGACUUACCAACCCGAUGCAAACUGCGAAUACCGGAGAAUGUUAUCACGGGAGACACACGGCGGGUGCUAACGUCCGU